UGAACGCAGCGACAGGCUUAACACAUGCAAGUCGAGGGGCAGCGGGGAUGAAGCUUGCUUCAUCCGCCGGCGACCGGCGCACGGGUGAGUAACACGUAUGCAACCUGCCCCUGGCUGGGGGAUAAGCCGGAGAAAUCCGGUCUAAUACCGCGUAACAUCCUUACGGGACAUCCCGUUAGGAUCAAAGGAAGCGAUUCCGGCCAGGGAUGGGCAUGCGGCGCAUUAGCUAGUCGACGGGGUAGCGGCCCACCGAGGCGACGAUGCGUAGGGGUUCUGAGAGGAAGGUCCCCCACACUGGUACUGAGACACGGACCAGACUCCUACGGGAGGCAGCAGUGAGGAAUAUUGGUCAAUGGGCGCGAGCCUGAACCAGCCAAGUCGCGUGAGGGAAGACGGUCCUAUGGAUUGUAAACCUCUUUUGCCGGGGAGCAAGCUGAGUCACGUGUGGCCUCAGCUGAGAGUACCCGGAGAAAAAGCAUCGGCUAACUCUGUG
This 493-nucleotide ribosomal RNA is filed under the name uncultured Bacteroidales bacterium. RNAcentral describes it as "bacterial SSU rRNA". It matches the Rfam family "Bacterial small subunit ribosomal RNA", at positions 30 to 507 of the family's 1533-position model. The record is from RNAcentral. Lineage: Bacteria; Pseudomonadati; Bacteroidota; Bacteroidia; Bacteroidales.